RNAcentral lists this long non-coding RNA (595 nucleotides) under Struthio camelus australis. RNAcentral describes it as "lncRNA (ENSSCUG00000004328.1)". The record is from RNAcentral. Lineage: Eukaryota; Metazoa; Chordata; Aves; Struthioniformes; Struthionidae.
AUGAGCUUGACAGAGCACUCUGUGAAAGCUCUGACAGCACUACAGAGCACCGCUGCAGUGGUGCUUACCACUGAGAGCUUUGUGUGAUCAAGACUGCAGGCCAUCAACGCCAUGUAUGUGGGGUAAACUACAAGACAGAGGUCUUGAGAGGCAUUGGUGAUUGGUCAGGAUUAAAAAAAAAGAAUUUUGGACAAAGCUGUGGUGUCAUCGACGAUGGCUAUUCUUAUGUUGAAGAACUUCUCCAAAUGCUGAAAAUUUAUGCGAAGAAAAAAGAUCUGAAGUAAAUUCACCACUUCCUCAUCCUCUACUACAUUUUAUAAUUGGCUGAUUUCAUAACAUUUUCUAAUAGAGUUCCUUUGAGGUAAUAUACACCAUUUUUUAAUUACUACUUCUAGAGAGCAAGAAUUGAAAAUCACAUGAGAUUUCUUGUUUCCAGGUUGGUAUUUAGGUGAAUCUUUUAGAAAUAGCAAGUAGAAUCGUGCCACCUGUUAAUCCCCGACCAGCUUUCCUUUUCAUUCUCUCAUCUGUUCACUUGCUCUUAUUGCUGGCAAAUGUCCAAGCUUGUCUACGUGGAUGUAAGUGAGCAGAAAAGGGU